RNAcentral lists this non-coding RNA (20 nucleotides) under Rattus norvegicus (Norway rat). Lineage: Eukaryota; Metazoa; Chordata; Mammalia; Rodentia; Muridae. The record is from RNAcentral.
CUUUGUGAUUUCUGAUGCUC